CCUACGGGCGGCAGCAGUGGGGAAUAUUGCACAAUGGGGGAAACCCUGAUGCAGCAACGCCGCGUGAGUGAAGAAGGUUUUCGGAUUGUAAAGCUCUUUUAGUAGAGAAGAGAAUGAACGUAACCUGCGGAUAAAGCCACGGCUAACUACGUCCCAGCAGCCGCGGUAAUACGGAGGUGGCAAGCGUUGUUCGGAAUAACUGGGCUGAAAGGCUGCGUAGGCGGUUAAACAAGUCAGAUGUGAAAUAUAUAGGCUUAACCUGUGAAAGGCAUAUAAAACUGUUAGACUAGGGUGCAGGAGAGGUAAGUGGAAUUCCUGGUGUAGCGGUGAAAUGCGUAGAGAUCAGGAAGAACACUAGUGGCGAAGGCGACUUACUAGACUAUAACUGACGCUGAGGCAUGAGAGCGUGGGGAGCAAACAGGAUUAGAUACCCGAGUAGUC
Molecule: ribosomal RNA, 441 nt
Filed under: uncultured bacterium
Lineage: Bacteria
Description: partial 16S ribosomal RNA
Rfam family: Bacterial small subunit ribosomal RNA
Source: RNAcentral